GUUGGGUAGGGGAGCGUUCUGUAAGCCUGCGAAGGUGACCUGUGAGGGUUGCUGGAGGUAUCAGAAGUGCGAAUGCUGACAUAAGUAACGAUAAAGCGGGUGAAAAGCCCGCUCGCCGGAAGACCAAGGGUUCCUGUCCAACGUUAAUCGGGGCAGGGUGAGUCGACCCCUAAGGCGAGGCCGAAAGGCGUAGUCGAUGGGAAACGGGUUAAUAUUCCCGUACUUGGUGUUACUGCGAAGGGGGGACGGAGAAGGCUAUGUUGGCCGGGCGACGGUUGUCCCGGUUUAAGCGUGUAGGUGUGUGUUCCAGGUAAAUCCGGUUCACUUUAACACUGAGGCGUGACGACGAGGCACUACGGUGCUGAAGCAACAAAUGCCCUGCUUCCAGGAAAAGCCUCUAAGCAUCAGGUAACAUCAAAUCGUACCCCAAACCGACACAGGUGGUCAGGUAGAGAAUACCAAGGCGCUUGAGAGAACUCGGGUGAAGGAACUAGGCAAAAUGGUGCCGUAACUUCGGGAGAAGGCACGCUGACACGUAGGUGAAGUGAUUUACUCAUGGAGCUGAAGUCAGUCGAAGAUACCAGCUGGCUGCAACUGUUUAUUAAAAACACAGCACUGUGCAAACACGAAAGUGGACGUAUACGGUGUGACGCCUGCCCGGUGCCGGAAGGUUAAUUGAUGGGGUCAGCGCAAGCGAAGCUCCUGAUCGAAGCCCCGGUAAACGGCGGCCGUAACUAUAACGGUCCUAAGGUAGCGAAAUUCCUUGUCGGGUAAGUUCCGACCUGCACGAAUGGCGUAAUGAUGGCCAGGCUGUCUCCACCCGAGACUCAGUGAAAUUGAACUCGCUGUGAAGAUGCAGUGUACCCGCGGCAAGACGGAAAGACCCCGUGAACCUUUACUAUAGCUUGACACUGAACAUUGAGCCUUGAUGUGUAGGAUAGGUGGGAGGCUUUGAAGUGUGGACGCCAGUCUGCAUGGAGCCGACCUUGAAAUACCACCCUUUAAUGUUUGAUGUUCUAACGUGGACCCGUAAUCCGGGUUGCGGACAGUGUCUGGUGGGUAGUUUGACUGGGGCGGUCUCCUCCUAAAGAGUAACGGAGGAGCACGAAGGUUGGCUAAUCCUGGUCGGACAUCAGGAGGUUAGUGCAAUGGCAUAAGCCAGCUUGACUGCGAGCGUGACGGCGCGAGCAGGUGCGAAAGCAGGUCAUAGUGAUCCGGUGGUUCUGAAUGGAAGGGCCAUCGCUCAACGGAUAAAAGGUACUCCGGGGAUAACAGGCUGAUACCGCCCAAGAGUUCAUAUCGACGGCGGUGUUUGGCACCUCGAUGUCGGCUCAUCACAUCCUGGGGCUGAAGUAGGUCCCAAGGGUAUGGCUGUUCGCCAUUUAAAGUGGUACGCGAGCUGGGUUUAGAACGUCGUGAGACAGUUCGGUCCCUAUCUGCCGUGGGCGCUGGAGAACUGAGGGGGGCUGCUCCUAGUACGAGAGGACCGGAGUGGACGCAUCACUGGUGUUCGGGUUGUCAUGCCAAUGGCACUGCCCGGUAGCUAAAUGCGGAAGAGAUAAGUGCUGAAAGCAUCUAAGCACGAAACUUGCCCCGAGAUGAGUUCUCCCUGAGACUUAGAGUCUCCUGAAGGAACGUUGAAGACGACGACGUUGAUAGGCCGGGUGUGUAAGCGCAGCGAUGCGUUGAGCUAACCGGUACUAAUGAACCGUGAGGCUUAACCUUACAACGCCGAAG
RNAcentral lists this ribosomal RNA (1737 nucleotides) under Salmonella enterica subsp. enterica serovar Typhimurium. RNAcentral's name for it is "bacterial LSU rRNA". It matches the Rfam family "Bacterial large subunit ribosomal RNA", at positions 1223 to 2925 of the family's 2925-position model. Lineage: Bacteria; Pseudomonadati; Pseudomonadota; Gammaproteobacteria; Enterobacterales; Enterobacteriaceae. The record is from RNAcentral.